AGAGUUUGAUCCUGGCUCAGGACGAACGCUGGCGGCGUGCUUAACACAUGCAAGUCGAACGAUGAAGCCUUUCGGGGUGGAUUAGUGGCGAACGGGUGAGUAACACGUGGGCAAUCUGCCCUUCACUCUGGGACAAGCCCUGGAAACGGGGUCUAAUACCGGAUAAUACUCUGUUCCGCAUGGGACGGGGUUGAAAGCUCCGGCGGUGAAGGAUGAGCCCGCGGCCUAUCAGCUUGUUGGUGGGGUGAUGGCCUACCAAGGCGACGACGGGUAGCCGGCCUGAGAGGGCGACCGGCCACACUGGGACUGAGACACGGCCCAGACUCCUACGGGAGGCAGCAGUGGGGAAUAUUGCACAAUGGGCGAAAGCCUGAUGCAGCGACGCCGCGUGAGGGAUGACGGCCUUCGGGUUGUAAACCUCUUUCAGCAGGGAAGAAGCGCAAGUGACGGUACCUGCAGAAGAAGCGCCGGCUAACUACGUGCCAGCAGCCGCGGUAAUACGUAGGGCGCAAGCGUUGUCCGGAAUUAUUGGGCGUAAAGAGCUCGUAGGCGGCUUGUCACGUCGGAUGUGAAAGCCCGGGGCUUAACCCCGGGUCUGCAUUCGAUACGGGCUAGCUAGAGUGUGGUAGGGGAGAUCGGAAUUCCUGGUGUAGCGGUGAAAUGCGCAGAUAUCAGGAGGAACACCGGUGGCGAAGGCGGAUCUCUGGGCCAUUACUGACGCUGAGGAGCGAAAGCGUGGGGAGCGAACAGGAUUAGAUACCCUAGUAGUCC
Molecule: ribosomal RNA, 771 nt
Filed under: uncultured bacterium
Lineage: Bacteria
Description: bacterial SSU rRNA
Rfam family: Bacterial small subunit ribosomal RNA
Source: RNAcentral